This 253-nucleotide ribosomal RNA is filed under the name uncultured bacterium. Its description in RNAcentral is "partial 16S ribosomal RNA". It matches the Rfam family "Bacterial small subunit ribosomal RNA", at positions 524 to 776 of the family's 1533-position model. The record is from RNAcentral.
UACGGAGGGUGCAAGCGUUAUCCGGAUUCACUGGGUUUAAAGGGUGCGUAGGUGGAUCGAUAAGUCAGUGGUGAAAGCCCCGAGCUCAACUUGGGAAUUGCCAUUGAUACUGUUGAUCUUGAGUGCGGUUGAGGUAGACGGAAUAUGUCAUGUAGCGGUGAAAUGCUUAGAUAUGACAUAGAACACCAAUUGCGAAGGCAGUUUACCAAGCCAUUACUGACACUGAGGCACGAAAGCGUGGGGAUCAAACAGG